Molecule: long non-coding RNA, 247 nt
Filed under: Lathyrus oleraceus (garden pea)
Lineage: Eukaryota; Viridiplantae; Streptophyta; Magnoliopsida; Fabales; Fabaceae
Description: Pisum sativum (pea) long non-coding RNA (PSAT_LNC014028)
Source: RNAcentral
UAAUAAUGGGUGAUAUUUUGUGGUUUCUUCCUGGUGGGUUCAUGUCUUUCAUUUUCCCUUUACUCCGUUCGAGCGUCAAUUGUUGCUAAGCUUGAUGUUGGCUCCCUCUAUGAUUUUUCCUCCAUCUGGGAAUCAUGUUCGUGCAUUUCAACAUUUAUGUGAUUUCCUUAGGAUAAAACCUCAUGAGUCGGUGUUUUGUGUCAUAUUCUAGGUUACCUAGGAGUUUACUACACCAUUUUGCUUGUCA